CUAAAAUAUAUUACUAAAAUAGGGGCAUUUGGGUAAUAACAUAGAUUCUUACUCAGAUUAUGUGAAUUAGUAGAUAACUUAUAUGGUUCAAUACUAUUCCUACUUUGAUUCCUGAAAAUUUUAGUAAAAAGUUUUGCCACGCCUUAGACCCGUGGUCGAUGAAAAAAUAAACCUGCGCCCGAUGCACGAGUAAAAGUAAAAAUAAAAUCGAAAAACAAACUUCUCUUAUAAAAUAACUCCAAAAUUUUUACAGGGUGUACAAAAAUAAAAUAUAAACCUUAAAAUCCCUCAUUGAACACAAUCUUAGCUCUUCUACCCUUCGUUAAUCUUGUACCACACCUGCAAGGUCUAAAAUAUAUAGGGUGAGUGAGACCAUAGCUCAGAGGGACAUAAGUCUUAUCAAGGAUAAUUGUCAAGGCUAAACCGAGUGUCAUGCAGCACAUAAACAAUUAUAACCAUGGAUGGAGGGAGGUAAGGCCUAGUGGGGGCACAUGCCCCCUCUCAUCCCCUUUGUUUCAUUACAAAUUAAUCAUGCUUUGUGGAUUAUUCAAUUAAUCAUAUUAAAAAUAGUGAAAAUGCUCUUUUAGUUUUUAAAUGCCCCUCUGUCUUGUAUAUUUUUUCUCAUGCACUAAUGUCUAAACCUUGUUGAGUUGCAUGUACUUGGUUAAUUAGUACAAAUGAGCAUUAGAUUGUCAACAAUUAAAGACAAAAUUAGACAAUAGAGUAAUAAAAUUAGGCAUUUUGUAAUUAAUUUUUUCAGCAUUUGUAAAAGAACUAGCUUUAUUUGUCCAAAAAAAGAGCUCAAAUUUUUUAAGAUGCCCCCUCUUAGUUAAAUUUCUGGCUUCGUCCCUGAUUAUAACAUUUUGUAUCAUUAAUCACAAUUUAACUAAUAAACCAGGAAUGUAGCUUAACUUCAAUCACCUAGUCCAUCAAUUUAUAUAAUAAAAACGCGUGGAUCUACACGUCCCAUACUAUGCAUUUUACCACUAUAGGGGUGGUCCAAAUGCUCUAAUAUACAAACUAACCCCGACAACUCAAUCAUCCCAGUUCUCA
Molecule: long non-coding RNA, 1053 nt
Filed under: Malus domestica (apple)
Lineage: Eukaryota; Viridiplantae; Streptophyta; Magnoliopsida; Rosales; Rosaceae
Description: long non-coding RNA (MDOM_LNC002068)
Source: RNAcentral